Coregonus clupeaformis (lake whitefish) is the source of this 1188-nucleotide long non-coding RNA. RefSeq lists it as uncharacterized. The transcript has 2 exons. Lineage: Eukaryota; Metazoa; Chordata; Actinopteri; Salmoniformes; Salmonidae. The record is from RefSeq and is a predicted model, not a curated record.
UCCUGCUGUUAUACUUUAUUGGUGAAUACGUGACAACUAUUUCCACGUGUAUACUUUAUAAUUUAAACAGAUUAUUUAAACUAUUUAAAUAGUUUAUUUAAACUAUCAUAAGAUAAAAUUGAUUUAAUCAACAAUGUGUUUCGUAAUGAAGGGGGCAGGUCCGGCGGAAGUCGUUGUACGUGCAGCUUUUGCAAUCUUGGGGAGGUCACGGUACAGUUGUUGCCCAUGUUUUUGCAAGAUACUAGUGGAAUAAGAAUAUUUUGAUAGACAGCAGUUACUAAUUUUGCAACAUUUCGGACAAGUCUGGUCGUGGUUGUUGUCUACCAUGAAGCAACAUCAACUGUCUGCAGUAAAGCGCCUUACAAAACCAAUUUUAUUUGGAACAUUAAUCGUGGGACUGGCCACUGCUUUCUUCAACAGACACCGAUUCUUUGAGGACCUAGCAGAGAUGAGGGCUCAGGAGCGUGCUAAGAAUGAUGCCAAGCUGAUGGAGGUGCUGGAGAUGAGAAAGAGGCAGAUGGAGGAGCUAGCAGAGAAGAAGAAGCCAUGAUGACCCACUGGGGACAACAGACACUGAGCUUGACAGACCGAAUGACAGCAUCCCUUUGGUGGGGUUGCUGGGGGUUGUACAAUACAGGCCAUUUUUGGUGAGGGAAUCUUUUAUCAAACAAAUAGACAGGACAGAGGAGCAGAGAAUAAGUAAUGUCACGACAAGAGCAUCAUUAAUGUGAAGGUUUUCAUUGUGGAUAUUCAUCUAACUGAAUGUUUUCGUGGACCUCUAAAUAGUCCAAUUAGGGAUCCAUGAAGAGACCUCUUCUUGUCAAAGCAAGAACUGAAAGGCAAUAACGUGUUUGGGGAGUGGGGACACUUUUUGGUUCACUGCUGCAACUUCACUACAAUGUAAUAUUUGAUUAGAGAGCGAGGCAUCACAUUAUUUUUGUCCCAUGAUGAUAAUCGGGUACAGCUAUGAAUAAGCCUACAGUACUCAUAUAAUUAAUUGUACAGAAAAUCAUGAUGUUUAAUCAGAAUAGACUAUCCACUUGUUAGUUGUACCCACGGAGAGGGAAUUCAACCUCUGAAAUGUAUGAUUGCUAGACAAAAAAAAGUUUUUGCGUUUUGGCGGACAUUUUGUGUUAUCUACUUUUACCAAUAAAAACUAUGAAUUUACGUCCUAAUCUAGAAACGAAA